This 395-nucleotide unclassified non-coding RNA is filed under the name Hevea brasiliensis (rubber tree). Lineage: Eukaryota; Viridiplantae; Streptophyta; Magnoliopsida; Malpighiales; Euphorbiaceae. The record is from RNAcentral.
GCUAAUCAACUCGGCUCAACUGCACAUCCCAGCUCGACACCGGCUCGUGUCCCUGGCAGCGCCUCCACAGGGACUUUGGGACGCCAUUUGGCUCGGCGACUGGUGGAGAUCGGCGUCAGUGAUGUCUUCUCUGUCCCUGGAGACUUCAACUUGACUCUUUUGGAUCAUCUGAUUGCAGAGCCCGGGCUGAAUUUGAUCGGUUGCUGUAACGAGCUGAACGCUGGAUACGCUGCCGAUGGUUAUGCACGUUCCAGAGGCGUAGGGGCCUGCGUGGUGACUUUCACUGUGGGUGGUCUCAGUGUGAUUAAUGCCAUCGCUGGUGCUUAUAGUGAGAAUUUGCCCGUGAUUUGUAUCGUUGGCGGUCCAAAUUCUAAUGAUUAUGGGACUAACCGGAU